CCUACGGGAGGCUGCAGUGGGGAAUAUCGCACAAUGGGCGCAAGCCUGAUGCAGCCAUGCCGCGUGUGUGAAGAAGGCCUUCGGGUUGUAAAGCACUUUCAGCGGGGAGGAAGGCGUUAAGGUUAAUAACCUUGGCGAUUGACGUUACCCGCAGAAGAAGCACCGGCUAACUCCGUGCCAGCAGCCGCGGUAAUACGGAGGGUGCAAGCGUUAAUCGGAAUUACUGGGCGUAAAGCGCACGCAGGCGGUCUGUCAAGUCGGAUGUGAAAUCCCCGGGCUCAACCUGGGAACUGCAUUCGAAACUGGCAGGCUAGAGUCUUGUAGAGGGGGGUAGAAUUCCAGGUGUAGCGGUGAAAUGCGUAGAGAUCUGGAGGAAUACCGGUGGCGAAGGCGGCCCCCUGGACAAAGACUGACGCUCAGGUGCGAAAGCGUGGGGAGCAAACAGGAUUAGAUACCCUAGUAGUC
Molecule: ribosomal RNA, 465 nt
Filed under: uncultured Klebsiella sp.
Lineage: Bacteria; Pseudomonadati; Pseudomonadota; Gammaproteobacteria; Enterobacterales; Enterobacteriaceae
Description: bacterial SSU rRNA
Rfam family: Bacterial small subunit ribosomal RNA
Source: RNAcentral